ACAGCUUUGGACAAAAGUCUAUAGCCAGUGCAUUUGAAACUCCCCUUGCACAAGGGCUGACUGUAGCUGGGGGAAGACAGUUGACUCAUUUGCUCUCUCCUUUCACACAGUCAGCUGGCCCUCUUCUCAGGUGUAGAUCACCUAUUAUCAUUUCACCUGUUUUGAUUCUCUGAUGAGGAAAAUCCCAGGACUUAUCAGCUGGGAUAGGCCUCAUUUACAAGACAGCUCU
Molecule: unclassified non-coding RNA, 229 nt
Organism: Vulpes vulpes (red fox)
Lineage: Eukaryota; Metazoa; Chordata; Mammalia; Carnivora; Canidae
Source: Ensembl